UACAGAGGUGGCGAGCGUUAUUCGGAAUUAUUGGGCGUAAAGGGCGCGUAGGCGGCUUGACAAGUCCCGGGUGAAAUCCCUCGGCUCAACCGAGGAACUGCCUUGGAAACUGUCUGGCUUGAGGCCGGGAGAGGGUAGUGGAAUUCCCAGUGUAGCGGUGAAAUGCGUAGAUACUGGGAGGAACACCGGUGGCGAAGGCGGCUACCUGGACCGGUUCUGACGCUGAGGCGCGAAAGCGUGGGUAGCAAAACAGG
Molecule: ribosomal RNA, 254 nt
Filed under: uncultured bacterium
Lineage: Bacteria
Description: partial 16S ribosomal RNA
Rfam family: Bacterial small subunit ribosomal RNA
Source: RNAcentral